Erinaceus europaeus (western European hedgehog) is the source of this 454-nucleotide long non-coding RNA. RefSeq lists it as uncharacterized. The transcript is spliced from 3 exons. NCBI's taxonomy places the organism in Eukaryota, Metazoa, Chordata, Mammalia, Eulipotyphla, Erinaceidae. The record is from RefSeq and is a predicted model, not a curated record.
AGAAGACAAGGUCAGGCCUGUGGUGGGACAAGCACAGGCUUCUGUUCCUCAACAGGGAACACAAAGUGAGCUGCGCGGGGCUGGAGCUCAGUCAAAGGGGCCCUCUCUGCUGCUGAAGGCGCCUCUCAGCAGUACACACAGGAGCUAUCAGGAGACACACCAGGCAAAGGCUAGACAUGGCCACACAUCAAUACCAACUUGAUUUAAACACAUGGAGAUCACAGCCCUUAACAAGUACAGUGAAGAAACAGACACUACUGGCCCUCUAUCUGGAGACCCGAUCUUGUCUGUGGGGACAGUGAGAGGCAGAGGAAGCGGAGCCUGAGCUCUGAAAGAAGCCUCUGAGAGCCCCAUGUACUAUGAGAUGACUCAGCACUGUAGGGCACGUCUGCACCAUGGAAGGCGGGCGUGAGAAUGGAGCCACGCUUGGCAUCAGAAGAGGCUGGUACCUGAG